Molecule: non-coding RNA, 248 nt
Organism: Tinamus guttatus (white-throated tinamou)
Lineage: Eukaryota; Metazoa; Chordata; Aves; Tinamiformes; Tinamidae
Source: RefSeq, a predicted model, not a curated record
AUUGGCUUGGUGGCUGCUGCCUGCAGCAAGUCCUGGCGCGCGGCGGCGUGCUGGGCCUGCAGCACAUGCAGCAGGUGCUGAGCGAAGCACAGCCCUGGUGGCUGCGGUGCCGGGCUCGCUCCAGCCUCCAGGGACAAGCUCCUCACGGUGCUGCUGUCCUACUUCUGCAGAAUUGUCUUCAUCAGCACAGCUCCAGCUUCAGCCUCCUGCACGCGGGAGCUGCUCAGGGCUUCCUGGGCCAGCUGGAA